Molecule: long non-coding RNA, 1689 nt
Filed under: Mytilus galloprovincialis (Mediterranean mussel)
Lineage: Eukaryota; Metazoa; Mollusca; Bivalvia; Mytilida; Mytilidae
Source: RNAcentral
GACGACGACGGACGCCAAGUGAUGAGAAAAGCUCACAUGGCCUUUUAGGCCAGGUGAGCUAAAAAAGCGGGAAAAGGCUGAUUUGGACUUUUACCUUACAUUUGCAUUAGUAUUAUUUGUGUCUCAAAUCGAAAGAACAAAAAUUAAGAAAUUGCUCAAAUUUUGUAAAAUGGCCUUUUAUGAGCAAUUGAAGUAUUUUAUACAAAGAAAAUGGGUGUUAUGGGGCAAAAAAUUUAACCCAGUACUGAUGGAAAAAUACCAAGGUGUCUGAACAUUUGACACCAAUUUCCAAAACCUCACCUACUUAGUAAGUACAUCCUUAAUGUAUAGCAGCUUAUUUAUUCCAAAACAUUUUGUUAUUAUAUGCAAUAUACAAAAAUGGUGUUUAGUAGAUGAUUUAAGUAAAAUCAUGUUGUUGAAAAGAAUCAUUUUACCUAAACAUAAUUUUCAAGAGAGAAUUAUACCAAAACAUUGUUUUGAAUAAAUGGAUGAUUUUUAAUGAAACAUUGUUUAAAGUACAUGAAUUAUAUCAAAAUAAGCUGUAAACAUAUAUGGAUUAUACCAAAACAUGUUUGUUUAAAGAAUAAAUUAUACCACAACAUGCUUAAUGUACAUGUAUGACCUAUAACACAACAUUUUGUUUGAUAUUUAUAUUAAACAAUAUGCCACAACAUGUUGUUUAAUAUAUAAAAAUCAAUAUGGUUUAUCUUCUACCUUUGUCAAUAUAAAAACACUAGGAUUAUCAACAUUGGCACACAUGUGCUUUAUAUUGAACUGAAAGUUUUAGUAAGUUCCAAUAAGAAAAGGGAAGUCUACAAUAAAGAUAAUACUACUGGUAAAUGGCACUGAAUUAAACAGAACACAUUAUUCCUGUGAAAAGCUGACAUCUUAUCAAAAUAAUAUAAAUCCCAGGGGCGGAUCCAUUUAUUUUUUAAAGGGGGUCCCAACCCAGGUGGGCUCAAACUAUAUCUCCCCAUUGAAAUGCAUUGACCGUGCAAAAAAAUGAGAGGUUCCAACCCCGGAACCCCCCUCUGGAUCCGCCACUGAAUCCUGAAUCUAUGCCUAUGAGAACGUUAGCCAAGUUGUGUUCUUGCACUUAUUGAGUGUUUUUUUUACCCAGGCUAUAACCAAAGUUUUCUAGUAAAUUUUCUAGAAAUGUUCAGUAUAUAAUGAAAAAAAUAAAAAGUUAUCUUUAAACCCUUUUAUUAUUCAGAUUUUUAACUGAAAUAAAGAAAAGUCAUUUUAACUAUAAAGAGUCCAGCAUUUUGAAAUAAGGGUAAUAAUAAUUUUUGUGUUUUUAAAUGGUUAAGUUUAAAAUUUUAAAUUAUAAAAAAGAAAUAAAAAAAUCUUGAUUCAGUUUAUUUAAAAAAGAGUUAAAAUUCAAAAAUAUUAUCAACAAAAUAUUGUGAUUAAUGCCAAAUGUAAGAUUGCUGUAAAAUAAUGUGCUUAUAAUGGAAAAAUAUAUGCAAAUACUGUUAACAAAUAAUUUAUUCAACAGAAAAACAUGACAUAGAUAAAUGACAUGUCCUUGAUAGUAUUUACACAUGCACUUUAAAAUAAGGAUAUAUUAAGGUAAGUUAAAAUACAUAAUGCAUAGAUAUUGGUUAGAUGUAAUGUUUAAAUAUUUUUCAUAAUAUACUCCAGAAAUAUAUUGCACUUUUUUUAUUCUAAAAUAUUCUUACAAUGGAA